Molecule: ribosomal RNA, 253 nt
Filed under: uncultured bacterium
Lineage: Bacteria
Description: partial 16S ribosomal RNA
Rfam family: Bacterial small subunit ribosomal RNA
Source: RNAcentral
UACGGGGGGGGCAAGCGUUGUUCGGAAUUACUGGGCGUAAAGGGCUCGUAGGCGGCCAACUAAGUCAGACGUGAAAUCCCUCGGCUUAACCGGGGAACUGCAUCUGAUACUGGAUGGCUUGAGUUCGGGAGAGGGAUGCGGAAUUCCAGGUGUAGCGGUGAAAUGCGUAGAUAUCUGGAGGAACACCGGUGGCGAAGGCGGCAUCCUGGACCAAUUCUGACACUGAGGAGCGAAAGCCAGGGGAGCAAACGGG